Molecule: long non-coding RNA, 314 nt
Filed under: Monodelphis domestica (gray short-tailed opossum)
Lineage: Eukaryota; Metazoa; Chordata; Mammalia; Didelphimorphia; Didelphidae
Description: lncRNA (ENSMODG00000033866.2)
Source: RNAcentral
AUGGGACUUGGACCCAUGUCCUCCAGGGCCAGAGCUCUACAUUCUAUACUGCAUGGCUGCCCUGUACCACAGUAUAUGGGGAGAGAGUUCUGGACCUGGAGUAGAAGAUCUGAGUUUAAAAAGUCUGUCUCAGACACUUACUAUGUGACCUUGGACAAGUCACAUUCUAUUUGCCCCAGUUUCUUCAUUUGUUAAAUGAUAAUAAUAACAUCUACAAUCCAGUGGUACCUCCCUACCAGUGGUGGUUGUGAGGAUAAAAUUGAUAAUAUUUUUUAAAUGCUUUGUAAAUUUUCCAAUGCUACAUAAAUGCUAUU